AAGUCGUAACAAGGUUUCCGUAGGUGAACCUGCGGAAGGAUCAUUACUGAGUCCGGGUUCUUUUAGAGCCCAACUCCCAUCCGUGUCUACUGUUCCUUUGUUGCUUUGGCGGGACCACUGGGGCAUGCCCUGGUCGCCGGGGGGUUUUCUGAUCCCCGGGUCCGCGCCCGCCGAAGCGCCUAUGAACCCUAUUAUGAAGAGCCUGUCUGAGUGGGUUGGUUAAUUAUUAAAACUUUCAACAACGGAUCUCUUGGUUCCG
RNAcentral lists this unclassified non-coding RNA (259 nucleotides) under fungal sp. RNAcentral's name for it is "partial internal transcribed spacer region". The stretch from base 1 to 46 matches the Rfam family "Eukaryotic small subunit ribosomal RNA", at positions 1786 to 1831 of the family's 1831-position model. The record is from RNAcentral. RNAcentral also lists the same sequence under 1 other name. Lineage: Eukaryota; Fungi.